Molecule: ribosomal RNA, 483 nt
Filed under: uncultured bacterium
Lineage: Bacteria
Description: partial 16S ribosomal RNA
Rfam family: Bacterial small subunit ribosomal RNA
Source: RNAcentral
GACGAACGCUGGCGGCGUGCUUAACACAUGCAAGUCGAACGAUGAAGCCGGAGCUUGCUCCGGUGGAUUAGUGGCGAACGGGUGAGUAACACGUGAGCAAUCUGCCCUUGACUCUGGGAUAACUGCGGGAAACUGUAGCUAAUACCGGAUACGACACCUUGGGGCAUCCCAGGGUGUGGAAAGAAUUUCGGUCAAGGAUGAGCUCGCGGCCUAUCAGCUAGAUGGUGAGGUAAUGGCUCACCAAGGCGACGACGGGUAGCCGGCCUGGGAGGGUGACCGGCCACACUGUAACGGAGACACGGUCCAGACUCCUACGGGAGGCAGCAGUGGGGAAGAUUGCACAAUGGGCGAAAGCCUGAUGCAGCAACGCCGCGUGAGGGAUGAAGGCCUUCGGGUUGUAAACCCCUUUUAGUAGGGAAGAAGCGAAAGUGACGGUACCUGCAGAAAAAGCACCGGCCAACUACGUGCCAGCCGCCGCGGUAA